This is a long non-coding RNA of Dendrobium catenatum, 415 nucleotides long. RefSeq lists it as uncharacterized. The transcript is spliced from 2 exons. The record is from RefSeq and is a predicted model, not a curated record. NCBI's taxonomy places the organism in Eukaryota, Viridiplantae, Streptophyta, Magnoliopsida, Asparagales, Orchidaceae.
UUUAACCAGCGAGAUAAAUUAGCAAGAGCCUGUGGAGGUUCGUGGAGGUGAGGCAGAGAGAGGGGAGACGAGAGAGACUGCGAGAGGAUCGAAGAGGGAGAGAGUGAGGGACACUGAGAGAGGGACGGGAAGGUAGCAGAUGGGAAAAAGGUUUAUAGAGGCACAGCGAGGGCGAGGCUUGGUUGCUUAAUUCUGAUGGUCACUGGCAUGGAGCUAAUCAAAGAUGGCUAUGGGUUGAUAGCAAGAGUAUUUACUGGAAUUAGGUCUUUCGUUGAUCUUUCGUCUUCUUUACGCAAGCUUAAAGGUUUGGGGAACCUAUUUAAAUCAAAUAAUAUUUUUAUUUGUAUGCUUACAUGUAGUUUUUUCAGUAGUGUUGUGUUUCGAUUGAAACAUAUGAAUAUGUUGUUUACAUCAA